AGUACAAUAAUUAAUAAAAUGCAAUAGAAAAGUGACUCAUAUUGCAAAGAAGAAGAAGAAGAAGAUUAGAGAGAGAAGUAUGAAGAUAAAUGAAGAACUUAUUAUGGAAGAUAUCUAAAUGGUUUGUAUUUUGGUGGAAUUUGUGGGGAUUCAAAUGUGAAUAUGAAGAGUAGAUGAUUCUAGUUUAGGGUUUGGUCCAUUAUUAUUAUUUUUUCUUUUAGUUUUGGAUUCAAGUAGUAAGCUUUUUAAAUAAGUUGUCUAAUUUUAGAUUGGGAAAGAUUAGAUGAGUUACUUGUCUUUUUUCUUAAAAAAAAUAUGCAUAGAAAUAGAUACGUUAAAUCGCGUGUCAGAUGCGUAUCUGGAAAGUAUCUGAAAGUAUAGAUACGUCAAAUCACGUGUCAGAUACGUAUCUGAAAAUUAUCUGAAAGUAUCGGUAUCUGAUACAUGUCUGAUACUGAUUCUUUGCCUCACAUGAAGUAUCUGUGCUUUAUAGAUUUUAAUGAUUAUGACUUAUUUGUAUCAAAUUCCAAUAAGAUGAAUUAGAAGAAACAGUUUGAUGCAAAUUUGGAUGAACCUAUCUUACUCCGUUCAUCUGAUUUUGACAUUUUGAGCUGGUGGAAAUUGAAUGGGGUUAAGUAUCCCAUUUUACAAGAGAUUGCUAGAGACAUAUUAGCCAUUCCCUUAUCUAGUGUUGCAUCAGAGUCUGCUUUUAGUACCUGCAGACGGAUUGUAAGCCCAAAAAAUUUUGCCUAGAGAAGUUAUGCCUUAUUUGCAAAAUGGAAGACCUGUUGAUAUGGUUUUCAAUAUCGUAAUAAGCUUCAUCCGAAGACAAUAGAGGUGUUGAUGUGCGCUCAAAAUUGGAUUGCAACUGAAGUUUUGACAGGUACUAGCACGGGAAAGAAAUGGUUAAACAUUUAACAUCUGUUUUGGAAGAUGCAGAUGACUCUAAUGAAGAUGAAGUGAUGACUGAGGAAUAAUGCUCACAAGUUCACAACUAAGGAUGGGACGAUCACGAUGUCAAGAAAGGGGAAAUUUUUGAAGAGAUAACAUCGAUCAAGAGCAAUUUAUGAUCAUGGUUGUUGUAUUUGUAAUUGUAUAAGACAUGAUUUUAAUUGACUUCCAGCACUUGAACUUUAUUUAAUAAGUUGUAAACUUAUUUAAUGGAUUUGUAAACUUCUAAA
Molecule: long non-coding RNA, 1181 nt
Organism: Benincasa hispida (wax gourd)
Lineage: Eukaryota; Viridiplantae; Streptophyta; Magnoliopsida; Cucurbitales; Cucurbitaceae
Source: RefSeq, a predicted model, not a curated record